ACAAAUACUACUGUGCCUAGAACGCUGAUUGUUUUAAUUUUUUUUUCCUGCUUCAGCGUGUCUGUCCCCUUAUGCCAGUUUAUCGUUACAUCUGAGACACCGUGUAUUUACGCCAACACACAGCCAAUACGCCAAUACGCCAAUGUCCGAGGGCGCCAAGGAUGGCUGAGCGUCCGUUUCAUCACCAUUCGCAUUCAGUAAAAACGAGUUCAUUGUAAUAAAAAUCCUCACAAGUAUAAGGUAAUUUCGUUCUGAAUGACGACUCUGUCCACAUGUCGCUCUUUUAUACUAUUUUUGAUUCUAGAUAAAACAUUCCAUGGUUUCGAUAACAAUCAGUAUCUUAAAAUUAUAAUGGUCUUUCUCUACGACGGCGUCAUUAUUUUAAUUAUUCACAUUCAGAAAUUUUAAUACAGACAAUCAAGUAGGUAUUGAAACUUUUGUUUCUUUUUUGGGUUAGCUAAAACUUGGUUGAUUCUUUGCUAGUGACGGUCAACAGACAUCAGAAUCGCCUUCUCUCGGCAACCGGACAAAACUUUAACAGUGUCUCAUCUUUUUUUCCCUACCUAGUCAUUUGUGCCGUAAGGGGGCUACUAUUCCCAUUACGUGCGGACGGAUAAGUGAGCUCACGCGACUCGACCUGGAAGACCUUACUAAUACUAGCCAUAGCAAGAGCAAUGCUUCGCUGAAUCUACCACCGCUUUUUCUUCUUUGGUUUUGUCCACGAAAAAUCUUUCUCAAGUAGGCGAGAACCUUUCACGAAAUUAUUUCCUAUUCCGAUGUUUUUUAUACGUGGUACAAGAAAAUUAAAAAUAAUCGCGAUCCACGUAAUCAGCGUAUUUUAUCAACGUUACAUGCACACACGCAAUGUAAUACAAAUAAAAACAGAUGUUACGUGGCAGUCUGUUGACGCAGGAGGGCUGAUUCAACUAUCUUUACUUUGGGUUGUGGGAUCAUAAAGCUUUAAUUUAUUAAAAUACCGAAUAUUUAAUGUUUAGUUAUGAAAAUGAAUAUUUAAUAUGGGUUAGAUUUUAUCCGUUUUGGGUACGGUUAUCUUGCACUGUAUAGAUGACUUCGUUAUUUUAAAUUUAAAGGUUAUUUUUUUAUUGCAUACUUAGGUUAAUGAACUCACGGUGCUCCGGUCAAUCGAAGCCGUCGGAGCACCAUGGUUCCUGAGGAACGGGGAUCUCUACGAUGACCUGAAACUCGACUCUGUCAAUAACUAUCUACAUUGCGCCAUUUCGAGAAGGCGACACGACAUGAGAACCCUCUUGUCGUGGCCGCUGGAAACUACAUACCCGAUCCUGUAAACCGAAUGGUAAACAGUCGACGUCGCCCAAAGCACGUCAUUAUGGAUCCUCCCGAUCCAUUAACGGUGCUUUUACCAAAAGCACCGGUCACCGUCCUCGUCGAACCCGUCGCUUGCGACGAAGGGCUCGACGAGGGAAUUAACCCAUAGACACAGCCCACUGAGUUUCUCGCCGGAUCUUCUUAGUGGGUCACGUUUCCAAUCCGGUUGCAUGUUCUGCGAAGCACUGGUCUUGCUAGGGCCAGUGUUAGGAACACCCGGUUUGAGUCCCGUGAGCUCACAUACAUGUCAAGGAAAAGCUGAUAUAGCCUCUCAAGGCUAUCAGCAUAGGUAGGAUAAAAAAAAUGACGGUGCACCUCGUGGUAAAUCGUUACAAAAGCUUCUAUAAGAUUCUUUAUUCUAUAAAAUUGUCAACAAUUUUGUCAAAACAAUUUUGAGGCACGAGCUCUAAGUCUCAUCUAGAUUUCUUUCCUACCUAUUCUGUGGUAGCCUAAGGGGCUAUUCCAUAUACGCGCAGCCAGGUAGUUGGGCUCACGGACUCAUGGGAGUCCUAACACAAGGCGUAGCAAGAGCAGUACUUCGCUAUAACCGGAUCGGAAUCGCGACCCACUGAGAAGAUCCGUUAAAAAGCUCAGUGGGUUGUGUCUAUCGGUUAAUAGACUCGUCGAGCUCUUCGUCGUUAUCGACGAGGGCGGUGAUCUGGAUUGUAUAAUGGCUAUCCUACCCUUCAAACCACAAUCGAUGAUUGCUUUGCCGCAAAAAUAGACAUGACCCGUGCGGGCUUACAUGUCAUCUUACCCAACAGUAAAAUAUAAAUUAUUUGUCGCCAGAUUGAGACUAAUAAUAUAAUCGAAGACUUCUCAUAACAUCGUCUCGUUUCCGAACAAUCAUUAUAAAUUUAAAUUAAUAUUUUGUAAUCAACAAAUUCUGUGACAUGUUUUGUUUUGAUUACAAUUAUUAUUAUAAGAUCAUCAUCAAAGGUCAUCGAACUCAUUUGACCUAUUCAUUAUGUGAUCGGUUGUUGUAUUUAUCUGAAACAAUAUUUCAUAAAAUAAGUGUUUUGAAUUAUAUUCUUGAAUGUACCUACGCGUUUAAUGUGUUAUUAACAAAACGAGAUAGAGUUGUUGACACAUUAAUCGAGCAGAUAAGCUUAUCAGUUCUCUUUUUACUACUUCCAUUAUGUGCGUUCUGUAUUUGAACUAAUUAUUUACACAAAUGAUACUGUCAGUUUAUUUUCGGUGUAAAUUUACAACAGUCGCAAUUGUAAGCGAUUUCCAUUUGUACGAUUCGAUUUUAAUUUGUAAACGUGUUGUUUUUCGUAUUUUUGUUUUUUUCGAACAGAGGCCGCCGGGUUCAGCUGUUCAAGGCUUAUCGAACGACGUAAAUUAAAUUAACGAUUAAUUGUUUUCGCUGAGUUUUCUACACGAGUGCCCGAUCGGUAGUACGCGGAAAUUUUUUAAUGCAAGAUCGUCGAUUAAUAUUCGUUCUCGGAAAAGCUAGUGUGCGCCGAUAGUAAAAUAACGUGAUCACGUUUCGUGCAAUUUCAUAGGCUAUCAAAAUCACUUGAAUGUAUAUAGCUGUUGGACGUCAUCUAAUCCAAUACGAGUAAUGUGGUCCAAGUCUCAAUUGUAUAGUAAAAUGGGGCGUGCACUUCUUCGUGGCCCAAAAAAACAGGACGAUGGUAUUAUUUACCCGUGCGACCUCGCAGAAGCGCCGUGUAAUUAUCAGUAAUUAUGCAAAUUUAUAAUUCUGCGGGUUUCAUUUUUUAAACACGAUUUUAUUUAUUAGCCGCUAAAUGGUACUUGGUAAUUUGUCAUUUGUCCACUGAUGCUUUAAAAUCUAUAUAAAUAUUACAUUACCUCGAUUUUGCAUUCGAAAAAAUAAUAAUUACAAUAUGGCGUUUAAGCGAACAAGCAGCCAAUAGGGAAUAUGCAUGUGACUCUAAAAUGGAAAAAACAUUUUUAUUUGUAAUUUUGAUUGCUAAAAAACAUACCUAUACAAUUAUUUUUGAAAUUUAUCAUAAUUUAAUAGCGAAAUCGUCAAGAAUUGACUUUAUUCAAAUUCCCUCGCAAAUUUCUAAAACGCAACGCUAUUGGUGGAACAAAAUGUGACGUCAAACUACACUGUCAACAGUGUCAACAAGAUGUUUGUAUGGUUUCUAGUGAUGUGUAUCAUAUGUUUCAUGUUAAGUUAAUAAAUAAUAAAUGCCCAGUGUUAAAUUUUUACAUUCUCGUGUAGAAAGACUCACAAUGAUUGUAACCCGUUUUGUCAAAGCACAAUCAGAUAAUCUUCCUAAAAUAGACGUGUUUAUGAUGAGCACCUAUUUCGCAUCUAAUUCGGAUUUUACGUCUGCUGAAUUCAGAGAAGUGAAAGCUGUUUUUAUUGAUAGGUAUAUAUCUAUUCAUAGGUAUAUAUAUCUUAUAAAUAUAUACCUAUGUAUUAUACAUUGAGAAAAUCUUUAAACUAAGUUAUAUUUUCGUCGAGGUUUGUAAACAAAACGAGCAUGUGCAGUUAAUUAAGUAAAAAAGAUUCUGAUAUGUAUUUUAUUACUUUCUUAUUUCUUUACUUACAUUAAAAUGAUCUUCACAACAGUAUAAAUAGCUCAAACAGAAUACACUGUUUCUUUUCAUAGCCUUACACCACUUUUUUCUUAUAUCUGCAUGUUUCGGCAAAGGAAAUAUACUUUGUCAGGUGCAGUUUUGAUAUUAUUUGGGCAGAAAUGAACGGCACAAUAUUUAUAAGAAGUUUUCAUUGGCUUUUCCAUGGUUUCCAUUUUUAUCACUUACUUUUUUAACUUUGUGAACUUUUCGCUCCGUUGUUGACAUCGAAUUCGUCUGUAACCUGACGUCACUUUUUUUUCCUACCUAAGCUGAUAGAUAGCCUUGAGAGGCUGGCUAUAUCAGCGGAACCUUAACUAGUAGAUGAGCUCACGGGCUCAAACCUAACGACGUUGCUAACACGAACCCUAGCAAGAGCCGUGCUUCGCAGAAUCUACCACCGGAUCGGAAACGCGACCCACUGAGACGAUCCAGCGAGAAACUCUGUGUGCUGUGUCUGAGACGUCACAGAAAAAGCGUGCCAAAAUGACCGUGUUUCAAUCGCCACAAAAUGAUAGAUAUUUUAAUUUAAAAAAAAAUGCCUAAUUGUUUUUAUUACGGAUGAGUUAUAUUUAUUUUUUAUUGCCAUUGUAGGCAGACGAGCAUACGGUCCACCUGAUGGUAAGUGGUCACCGUCGCUCAUGGACGUCAGCAAUGCCAGGGGCAGAGCCAAGCCGCUGCCUACCAGCCAGGCCGCUGUUCUUAUCAAUAAUGCCCACAAAAAAACGAAUUAAGCACUGUAAUUAAUUAAUUUAUGAAAUGAAAUACUUUUUUUUUUAUUGCUGUGAUGUGUGGACGAGCUCACAGCCCACUUGGUGUUAAGUGGUUACUGGAGCCCAUAGACAUCUACAACGUAAAUGCGCCACACACCUUGAGAUAUAGUUCUAAGGUCUCAGUAUAGUCACAACGGCUGCCCCGCCCUUCAAACCGAAACGCAUUACUGCUUCACGGCAUAAAUAGGCGGGGUGGUGGUACCCACCCGUGCGGACUCACAAGAAGUCCUACCACCAGUAUGACAACAGUAACAAUCGAAUAUUAAUUAUUCGUCAAAACAAUAAUAUUCUACCUAUGCACACGUAUGUAUGUAAUGUGUUCAAACUAUUGUAACAUCGCAGCUGUUGAAAUUGAAACUCGCUUAUCAACCAUCCUUGAAGCCAAUACAUAACAGAGUACAUAUAUGAGUACGAACGUUCACAAGUCACAAUACAUUAUUAGUACUAGUACUUAACCAGUAAUUAUUUUAUGAGCAAUUAAGAAUUUAAUUUAAUUUAAUUUCUUAAAAUAAUUCGCAUUUAAACAAAGUAAACAUUUAUAGAGAUACGAAAAAAAUUCGUCACGGAAACUUUUUCUAUUCUGUAAUUACGUAAUUGAAAACAUGAAAACGCCGCUACCCAUUUUUUCGGCGAGUUCCUUAGUCGCCUUUUACGACACUCACAAGAAGAAAUCGGGUGGGUGCUAGUCUAAGCCGCACACGUCUUGGAGAAGCUCGCACUUACGUAACGCAGGCAAGUGUACGGGAAACCUUUUCCAAAACAGGAGUAACCAAAUAAUUUACUAGUUAUCUUUAAUAAUAAUAAAGUACCACGAAAUAAACGUAAUCCAGUACUUUGUUUAUUUAAGUUUUUUAUAUUGGCAACGGUAGCUUGAACAGUCCUCAGGUAUUUUAAUAUGUUAAAUUCUGUUGCAGUUAUAAAAAAAAAACAUUAGUAAAAAAAACAUUUUUAUGUUUUUGUGUGUCAGUAAACACCAGCACAUCCGCAAUAACAUCUGACCUACUUGUCAAGAAUUGUUCACUUUAGUCCCAGUAUGCGAAUUGAAUCGAUUUUCUAACACGAAUACAGCAAAUAAUGCACAGUCCGCACAACAUACAUACUUAGGUACACAUACACGAGAACUGCAAACAACUGUCAAACACGAAACUAAACUAUCAACCUUUAUAUAGGUUCCAUAAUUCAAUUUACUUAAAUAGCAUAAAUAUCAUAUUUAAAAAAAUCGAAUAGUUUAAAUGACUCUCUAUUAAUUGUUCUUGAUGGAUGUUAACUUGAAGUAAUAUUGAAAAUAAUCAUACACUUCAAAAAAAAAAAAGAAAUGAAACUGAGAAAAGCAGACGACAUUUCAACCUAGAAUGAGGUGUGUUUUCAUAAAACAAAAGAGUCUUAAUAGAAGUCACCUUUGAUAUUAUCAAUACAUACGAACGUACAAAUCAAUUAUUUAAACAUUCACACGAAAACAAUGAAAGUCAACGAAGCAUUGGAAAUGUUUUAACAAUUUAAUGAUUGUUUUGUGCAUAUCAUUUUAUUAUUGACGUACUUGGCGUUCUCAAGUUUUACCGAGCACUGAAGACAUUAACAUACAAAACGUAUAAGUACACACUCAAACAAAUUAAUAAUUUAAAAAUGUUUCAAUAUAGUCUCGUCUAAUGUACAGUAUUGAAAAAAUCAAGAAAUCAUCGAAGUAUUCGGUUAAAUUAUUAUUAUCUUCUUUGUAAUUUAUAUUUAUCAUUGAAAUAAUUUAUAAUCUCUUUAGUAUUAAGAUUACAAUUUAAAGUUUGAUUCGUUUGAUUUACAACUGUAUAAAGUCAUCUUAAAGAUAUUGAACACUUGGAAACUGUUUAAUCAGUGUUUCGAUAUUUUGUAUAUACAUUUACAAGUAUCUAGUCCCGAAUUCAUUUUGAAAUAUAGUUUGUAUAUAAAUAUUAAAAAAUUUUUUUUUUUAUAAUAGAACGCAUGUAGAAUUGGCCAACCAACAUGCAUAUGUAUUGGCCAUGCGUUAUCAUUUAGUCUUACCUAAGAUUUUCGGGUUUCGGUUUUAGGUAAUAAUAUUAGGUUGUUAUUUAUUUAGAUUCUAGUCAAAAUAUUGUCAAGCGAAAUAAAUAAUGUCCGUGUCUUUAGAAAAUUUACAUUUUGUUAAUUAAACAUUAUAUUAUAACACUAACCAGUUGUUUGUAACAUUCGUUUAAACGUCUUUUGACUGUGUUUGCGCCUACAAAACUAAUAAAGUAAUUAUUAUUAUUUAACGGCCGUCUGGUGUAGUGGUAAGUGACAUGGUCACUACACAAGGGGGUCGCGGGUUCGAAUCCCGCCAAGGGAAGAUAUUUGUAUGAUAAAUAUAAAUGUAUUUUCCAGGGUUAUGGAUGUAUAUUAAAUAUAUGUACAUAUGUGUAUAAUAAAAAUCUUACAUUUAUAUCCGUUGUCUGGUACCUGUAACACAAGUUCUUUACGAACUUAUCACGGGACCAGUUAACGUGGCGUGAUUGUUAGUAAAUAUUUAUUUAUUCUCAAACCGAAUAAAUGAGCGUUUGUACAGUGAGGACAAAUCCAACAAAAAGUAUACGAUAGUGUAGUUAAAUGAACUCCAAGUAGAUUACCGAUUUCUUUUAUUAUUUAAAAAACCGUCUUAUCUUACCUUUUCAAAUUGAGAAGUGCCUUACAGUGAAAUUUUUAGUCGUCGUAUCGAACGUGUAUUUUUUCGAUGUCAACAAUAUGAGUGAACACGGCUAACUCAAUUAGCAUUACGUUCAUGGAAAAUGUGUUGUGUGUCGCAUUGCUCUAAUAUAAAACCGUUAUGUGUAGACAAAUCAUUUGUACGACGACCGUUCAUUUCGUCGUGUAUCUUUUAAAUUGAGAACAAUUUUUUUUUUGUUUUGGUCAAAAUGGCCUGUUUAUUAGAAAAUUUUUAAAUGUAAUUUUAAAAGCAAACGGAUAGACUAUUCUCUUCCACGUAAUCACUGUGGUUAUCGCCGUAAUUCUAUGAACACAUCUAUAUAAUGGGUCUAUUAAUAGAACAAGACAGUUCAGGACCUUUUUCUCUUGUCAUUCCAAUUUUUUUGUGUAGUACUUACCGAUAAUCUUAUUUUUAAUAACCGACUUCAAAAAAGAGGAGGUUCUCAAUUCGACUGUAUGUUCUUUUUUAUGUUUGUUACCUCAUAACUUUUGACUGGGUGAAUCGAUUUUGAUGAUGCUUUUUUUAUUAGAAAACUGACGCUUCCCGUGUGAUCCCAUUUCAAUUUAGUCCUAUUCUGAUAAUGGUAUCGAUGAGAAAACCAUAUUAUAAUAAGUCUUAAAUUUGCAUUAAGUACGUGCGCGACAAAUAGCUCAAUAGCUUAAUAUCACGCCGAUUUCGAUAAUUAUUGUUUUAGUGUAUAUUAAUUUGUUUUGGAAUAUCUUUUUUUUCUAUUUGAUGUCGGUUCUUGUUAAAGCAUGUUAAUUUUUUUAUUGAUAAAAGCUACGACUAUACUUUUAUGACAAUAUUUCGUUAGCAACUAAACAAAAAAGUCGGUUGAUAAACAGAGGAGUAAAUGGAACCUAAUUAGCUAACUAUUUUGGCUUAGAUUAUUGUCAAUUAUUUACGAAAGUUUAAGCACGAAUAAGGUAAGAUUUAAAUUUAUGUUUAGUAUUUUGUUAUUUAUAGUGUUUUUGAUUAAUAAAAUCCAUAAAUAAUAUUGUAAAUUUGAAAGUAUAUUUGUUUGUGUGUUUCUUUGCCCUUCUUUCAUGUUGAAACGAUACAACGGAUUGAUAUAAUUUUUUUAAAGUGGUAGUAUUAAGUCAGUCUGCCUUUUAUCCCGAAAAAACAUUUCAUUCUCACGGGAAACUUUUUUUUUUAUUGCUCUUUAUAGUCAGACGAGCAUACGGCCCACCUGAUGGUGAGUGGUUACCGUCGCCCAUGGACUUAAGCAAUGCCAGGGACAGAGCCAAGCCGCUGUCUACCGUUUACUACUCUCCACAAGCCUCGUUUGAAGUUUUUUUUUUUUCCUACCUAAGCUGGUAGCCUGGAGCGGCUAUUCCAGCGUAACCGUGGCUAGUAGGUGAGCUCACGGGGCUCAAACCUGACGACGAUGCUAACACGAACCCUAGCAAGACCCGUGCUUCGUAGAAUCUACCACCGGAUCGGAAACGCGACCCACUGAGAAGAUCCGGCGAGAAACUCAGUGGGCUGUGUCUGGGAGUUAAUUUACUCGUCGAGCCCUUUGUCGCAAGCGACGGGUUCGACGAGAACGGUGACCGGUGCUUGAAGUACCUAAAAGCACCGUUAGUGGAUCGGGAGGAUCCGAGAUGACGUGUCGUUUGAAGAAAGACAUGUCAAACUACAAAUAUACUCAAAGUACAAACUACACUGACACUUUUUUCCUUUUUUUCCACACGCGAGCGAAUCCGGGCCGAAGUAAGAACUUUAAACUCUUUUUAAAUCUCUAAAGUUUUAUGAACAUCUUUCGGUCAAUAUGAAUUUACCCAGCUUAUUUAUCUUAUCUUGGAUUUUUUUGGCGUUCCCAGAUACUUCGACCUUUGCAAGUUUAUUAUGUCCUUCUUCUGCCCUCUACUCCAUAUCUCCUAAACACCGCCCGCAUGAGUCUUGCAUUAGCGUUUGAGAUAAGAGUAUAUACCGAUUUACUAUAUACCAAAACGCGGCUAACAACAUAAUUUCUAAAUAUAAAAAACUUUGCUGGUGGUAGAACCUUUUAUGAGGCCGCGCGGGUAGGUACCACCACCCUAUUUCUGCCGUGAAGCAGUAAAGCGUUUCGGUUUGAAGGGUGGGGCAGCCGCUAUAACUAUACUUGAGACCUUAGAAUUUAUAUCUCAAGGUGGGUGGCGCAUUUACGUCAUAGAUGUCUAUGAGCUCCAGUAACCACAUAACACCAGGUGGGCUGUGAGCUCGUCCACCCAUCUAAGCAAUAAAAAAUAAAAAAACCUCAACCAGGGUUGCGGUGGCCACAGUUUAUCAAGUGAGUGAAAUUGGUACUAACAAAAAAAAAACCUAAAAAGUGUUCUAAGCAAACACUUGCAAAACGUGAGUAUAUAUUGUCGGGGCGAAACAUUAAGUUCCAUUGGUAUCAUAAAAAAAAGAACCAUAAAGAAGGUAGACAGAUUAGAUUGCUCCUAACAUCCUACCCGCAGUCUUCAGUCCGCGCCGAAAUAUGCGGAACUCAUUAAAACUAAAAAUCGUGGUUGGAACCCACUUUGGUAUAGGACUUAUAAUUGACUAUAUUAGUAUUUAUCAUAUGAAACCCAAUUCUGAUAUUUGAGCUGGUAAAUAAUUUUUAAAUAAAUAAGUAGUCAUGUUCGUAAUCAAACAAUCCGUAAACGGUAUAAUAAUGUUAAAAUAAUUAAGUUUCGGUACGUUUUUACAUCGUGCGAUCUUAUCAAUCGUUCGUGAAUGUAUUUAACAUCAGAUAACGAUUGCUAUACGACAUACAUGAGUUUUUUAAACAUGUAAAUUGUGGAUAUUUUAUCGUGUGUUGUGAUGUAUUCGGAUUCCGGUUACUAAGUAACAAAGUCAUCGUGGCGACUUCCACUUCGGCAGUCAAAGUAAAUGAUUUCACACCACAGUAUUAUUAUUAAUUGACAAAAUUAUCUCGAGAAGUUUUUGUGUAAAACUGACAAAGUCACAGCCCAUAUAAUAAGUUUUUAUGUUCUAUGCGACCAAGGUAUGUUAUCUGUGCAAUGGCGACAUCGGAGAUUAUGACGCAUCUAGUGGUUGAUUCGUACAAGUUUACUCUUAUCCUAUUUAGCAUGUCCCUGCUUAACCUUUUCAACCCAUUGAACGGGCAGACUAGUUCACGGCUCAUCGAAGUAGUUACCGGAGUCCAUACGGUAUAUGAAGGACACGAAAAAUAUAUUUAAUACUAUGCAAAAUAAAAAUAUAAGAAAACUUUUCUAAUGUUUUUUUUUUAUUGCUUAGAUAGGUGGACGAGCUCACAGCCCAUCUGGUGUUAAGUGGUUACUGAAGCCCAUAGACAUUCACAACGUAAAUGCGCCACCCACCUUGAGAUAUAAGUUCUAAGGUCUCAAGUAUAGUUACAAUGUCUCUUUAGUGUAGGGAAAGUAAUAAAUUCUUAAACUGUCAUUAAUAAUUGAAUGAGGUAUUCAAGAGUGGACGAUGGUGGUUUUUUUUAUUUUUAUUAUUGCUUAGAUGGGUGAACGAGCUCACAGCCCACCUGGUGUUAAGUAGUUACUGGAGCCCAUAGCCAUCCACAACGUAAAUGCGCCACCCACCUUGAGAUACAAGUUCUAAGGUCUCAUGUAUAGUUACAGCGGCUGCCCCACCCUUCAAACCGAAAGGCAUUACUGCUUCACGGCAGAAAUAGGCAGGGUGGUGGUACCCACACGUGCGGACUCACAAGAGGUCCUACCACCAGUAAUUACGCAAAUUAUAAUUUUGCGGGUUUCAUUUUUAUUACACGAUGUUAUUCCUUCACCGUGGAAGUCAAUCGUGAACAUUUGUUGAGUACGUAUUUCAUUAGAAAAAUUGGUACCCGCCUGCGGGAUUCGAACACCGGUGCAUCGCUUCAACACGAAUGCAGCGGACGUCUUAUCCGUUAGGCCACGACGACUUCAAAAUCGACUUCACGACGACUUCAAAAUCUAAUCUGCCUUCGACGAGAAUUCGAUUCGAUUAUCACUCAGUUCGACGUGUUAAUUCUAGAAACGACGAUGUUUAGUGACGUUUGUUUUCUUUUGGGAUUCGAAGCGUCGGGUGCAAUGACGCACAAAUCCCAAAUAAAAAGAGCUCUAAUGAAAAGAACUAAUUUAAAAAAGCUACAGUAAGAAUAAGCCUCAUUCUUAAUUUCACGCAUAAUUUCUGUUCGUGUUUUUAAUUUACUAUUCUCGAGAUUUUCAUUUAUCAUUAAAAAAUCCUUUCACAACGAGCAUGUAGAAAUGCAAUCAAAUUUCAUUGCUUCAUUAAAUCGUUCGUAAUUAAUUAUGACUGUGUAAAAAUAAUCAGUUUAAAAAUUGAAAUAAAAAUAAAUCGAUUUGAAACUAACGUUAACUUUAAGUCCGUAAUUAUAAUUGAAUCUUAAACGGCAAUUAAUCUCGGGUUCUCCCGAUAAGCCCCUUCAGAAGAUUCAGUAAAUAACCGCCAAAUUACUGACACUUUAUUUUGUCUCGUCUCAUUGCUUUUCAUUUAAUUUAAUCACAAUUGAUUAACGUCUCGAAUAAAUCAACUUCAUCUCAUUCCGCUUCAUAUCAAUUUUCAUAUAAUAAAAUAUGUAUGUAUACAAUAAUUGAAGAUUUUUAUGAAGGCAACACUGGUAGCAAUGAUAUCGCAAGAAGCCAGUUGCCAUACUGAAAAAAGAAGAAGAUGCUGUAACCGCGCCACCGCCACCUUCGGUCAACAAUAGUAACUGUUGAUCGAAGACCGCCACACCGCCUAACAGCCUGGCCACGGGACAUUCGCCGAUGCGAAUAUUCGCGCGGUGCGAACGGCGAAGCGUCUAGCGACUAAAACAAGCGCAUAGAAAUGUACCUAACAAGCCACGCGCACCGGCGACCGGCGAAGCGACCGGCGAAAUGUACCGAGCGAAUCGCGCGAUGCGGCGGGCGAGCAAAACAAAUGCAUGAAUACGGACGGCGCGAGCCACGGAGUCGAGCGGUAGUCGCGGCGAAUAGUGCAGUGAUUAAAUGAGUUUAGUUGUUUUCGCCGCGAAAAAUUAACGCCGAAAUUUUUAUAUUUUUUAUUUAUUUUUUAUUUUAUAUUUUUAAAGUCGUCGUGGCCUAACGGACGUCCGGUGCAAUCGUGUUGAGCGAUGCACCGGUGUUCGAAUAUCAGGCGGGUACCAAUUUUUGUAAUGAAAUACGUACUCAACAACACUCAACGUUCACGAUUGAUUUCCACGGUGAAGGAAUAACAUCGUGUGAUAAAAAUGAAAUCUUCAAAAUAAUAAUUUGCGUAAUUACUGGUGGUAGGACCUCUUGUGAGUCUACACGGGUGGGUACUACCACCCUGCCUAUUUCUGCCGUGAAGUAGUAAUGCGUUUCGGUUUGAAGGGUGAGGCAGCCAUUAUAACUAUACUUGAGACCUUAGAACUUAUAUCUCAAGGUGGGUGGCGCAUUUACGUUGUGGAUGUCUAUGGGCUCCAGUAACCACUUAACACAAGGUGGGCUGUGAGCUCGUCCACCCAUCUAAGCAAUAAAAAAAUAAAAUAGCUGAAAUACUAGCUAGACCAGCUAUUUGGAAGUCUAGCCACCCAAAGUAUUUCUCGUACUUCUUGUGGAAUUCUCCAUCUAUAGGUAUACUCCGAUUCUUAUUCAAAUCAUGUACUUCACAAUCUUUUCCAAAUAAUAGGUCCUGAACCAAAAAACUAUUAAUUUGUAAGCAAUAUCGAGAUAAUUUCGAUAUAGACAUUUCGCUGUCGGACUUCCUUACUAGUCGCGGCGGCGAACGUGAGUACCCGUGGCCUGCAAACGGUGCUACGCGAAUGGUCGCCUCGCCCACCGCUUCGCUGUUCGCACCGCCGAUCCCCGUGGCCAGGCCGUAACUGUGUAGAGUAAGCUGAACGCGUUCACAGCAGCUCACCACCUGAUAACGUUUCCGAUGUUGUGUCUUGUCCAUUGCUUCUCGGUCGGCGGCUCCAUAUAGUUUUGUUUGUAGCAUGACUCAAAAAUGUCGAAUAUCUUGAGCAUAAUUCAAAUAUAUCCCACUACCUUAUUCUCUUCUCUUAUAAUGAUAAAAAAACUGUAUUGGAUUCACCAUCUCCUUUUUUUUCUUGCUUCAACAUUCUAUGUAACUAUACAAUUUUGUAACUAACAUUUCCUUAGUACAUCUACUGUCCGUAAAUACGUAUUUUCUUAUUAAAACGUGACGCAAAUUUCCGUACCUAGCAAUGUAUUUCAAAAGUUAAAGCAUAAUAUGUCAAACCUAAUAACCAUAAAUUAACACAAGCAAUGAAAAUGCAAAGAAGUGGUAGAAGAAUUCGUGCGCGAAGUAAAUCAAAUGAGUUUUCAUUUCGUUCGAGAAAGUAUCAAACCAAACUAUUGCGUUCGCUUCGCGUUAAUUCUAGAUUUUUAUAUUUCGCGCGUAUAGUUUCGCGCCGGCUGUAAAACGAAGACGAUAAUGAUAUUUUCGCGCCAAAUCACGUCACGUUAUGGAGAGCUUGUAAAAUGGCGGAAUGCACCAACUCUAAUAAUAUAAUGUAACUACAAGUUAUAUUUACAAAAACACAAUAUUUAUAGCUUAUAUAUUUCGAAGGGUAAAUACAAUUUAAACGUAAAUAAAUAUUAAUCAAGUUUUUUACCGUUGAGGUGGGUAAAAUAACACAUGAUUUUUUUGUUUAUACAUGAUCCUUUACUUUAGGUAUUUUGGCCACAGGUGAUAUUAGUUAAUAUAAAUAUGUAUCUAAUGUGAUUGAAAUAUACCAAGUUACUAAAAUGCUCUUCUCACUGCUAUCGAUCCAUCGGUCAAGUAUAAUUAUAAUUCCAUCAUCUAUUGACAUGUUCGUGUAUUUAUGAAUUCCAUUGAAUUCAACAACAAUGACCGUGUUAUACGCCGGUGUUGUGUAAAUAUAACAGUGUUUGGUAGUAGUAGGUACUUGUCGAUUCUCAAAACAUAGCCAUGUUCGAGUGUUUUAUAAAAUUUCGAGUUCGUCAGAGUAUUAGAAAUUACUUACUUCAGUGCCAUAAGAUUGAAUUUGAAUUUGAACAAUACCGACAAUAAUAUUAAUAACACAUUAGUAGCACAUAUUUUAAUGACAUACGGUCAUCUGGUCCCAAACUAGGAUUCUCUAUACAAUGGGAACUAGAUACUGAUAUACAUACUAAUAUACGUUUAAAUAAAUAAACAAAUACUAAAUACCCGAACAAAAAGGAAACAAAUAUGUUCGUAACAUGAAUGUAUGCCCGAUGUGAGAAUCGAACCCAACGCCCCUGGGCUUAGCAAUCGUCAAUUACUAUGCCACCAAGUCAGAUAAUAGAUGACAUAAUACAAGAACAAACAAUUACCAUACACUUGAAAUUACACAAACGAGAUUAUUUCAUUUCGUUAAGACGAAGUUAAAGAGAUUCCACUCGAGAAACAUUGUAAGUUACGUAUGAGUCGUUUAUUAUCAAAGGUGGCAAUCUGUGCAUUUGGACAAAAAAAUGUUAUUGAUAUGUCAAUACAGAUUGAUUUGAAUAUAAUCAUCUCCUUCAAAGAAUACGGUUCAAAACCUGCAUUUAAUAAAGGUUAAUACUUAACCUGUUAUUUAUCUAAGAUGUCGUUCAGAAGAGUUUUGUGACUGCCAAUGGAAUACAAAGUCAAUAAUUCGUUUUUCUGAUUUACCAAUAAUUGUCCAAAAGUCACAUUGCCGGCUUUGAUAAUAGUCGACGCGUAUUUCGUUUAGUAUACCAAAUGAAAUAUAUCAAUACGAUGUGAUCAAACAGCGGAAAUUGUUCUAAACAAACAUUAGACUAACUAAACUAAACAUGCUAGACUAAGAAGAAACUUUAUAAUUUGCGGUUUUACUCAACAAACAGCAACGUGACAACAAUUCCUUUCGAAUUAAAUUCAAAGUCGAGUGCUCGAAACGACAAGGUUACUGUUAUUUGGUUACCGUUCAUUAUCGAAAUAAAAAAGAGUUAUAUAAAAAAAUUCUUCAAAACAUUGAGAACAUAAAUAUUUUAGUGAGACUAAACAAAAUAAUUGAAUUUCUUUUUACUGUGCAUUAAAAGCUCAUGCUACUGGCAACGAACACUCAUGAUUAAAAUCAAAAGACAUACGUUAGGAACACAGAGCAAAGAACUACAGACGUAAAGUCCAAAAUGUUAUCGAUAAAUAAAUUCAGUACCGAAUAUCAGUUGUAAACGGCUUAAGCCAAUCUAAAUUAGUAGCAGUAUCGAUAAAAGACGAUAAUAACGAUAACGUUGUGUACGAAGACAUUUAAUAAGGCGAUUAAAAAAAUGAUAAGAUUUAACACUUUAAAAAUUUUCAUACCAAGUGUAUGAGCAUAAAGUCACUUCAUGAUUAUGUAUAGAAAGAUCGAUAUUCAAACGAGGGAAAAUUUUAGAUUGUGAUAUAUGUGUUAUACUUCGUACACGCGACAACAUGAUUGACCGUGUCAUUAGGGUUCGAUUUGUCCUUGACGAACGUGUCAUGGCCUGACACGAAUAACAGAAAUAAGUGAGUAUCAUACGAUCGAUAUAAGUAGAUAUCGUUUUUAGUGUGAUUGGAAUUAAGUUUGAAUUUAAACGUAUAGAAUUUUGCUGCAGGAGAAGACGCUGUGAAUGGACCAAUGCGUUUUGGCUCUUCCUGGAGCAAUAAUGCAAGUCAAUAAAUUUACUUUCCACGGGGAGUUAUCCGGUCGUCGAAUUUAGUUAUGGAGGAUUCGCACUUCCCAAUGAUUGCAAGAUUUCCAGAUAAUCCUGGUUUAUACAAACAUAGCAUUUCGUAAAAUACACCUGUGUAAUUUUAAGUUAGUAUAAGACACAGCUUCUCUUGUUGAGAAGUAGAGCUACUGCUCAACUUCUAGGCAUGCUGACGACUCGAAAGACUCAGUGAGAUAAUCGUAAGGGUAGACAACGGUGAAGUGGGUUCUGUGAGGUAAAAGGUUAUUCUUUCUCUUUCUUAUAGCGCUUGUUGAUUAAGAGUUAAGCUGUAUAUGGAAGGAUCAGAAAACGGAAAUUCCCUAUCCUGACGAUAGUUUGCAGCCUUGUCAGUCCCCAAACAGGUGUAACUUUAGCUAUCAUCCUUGGGUGCGGAGUUUUCAGUCGGCCCUAGCGUCUGGAGUUUCCGAAAGUAGAUCUGAAGGCUCCUGUAUCAUGUGGAUAGGCGUGUGAAGGUACCGUUGCUGUUCCGGUGUACCUGAGCUGUUACUGUACUGUAGUUACCUGUUACUGAUUCUCAAUACUGAAAACUCUCAACUUAAGCCUCCGGCUUUUGUUUGAUAAAUUCAAAAUACGUUUUCUUCACAACAGUGGAAAUAUUAUAAAGAUUACUAUCGUUACUUUUGAACAAAAGUUUCGGAUAUAGCUAAUAGAUCAAUAAUAUGGUAAGACACGACGCGUUGCAUUUCUUAUUUUUCAUCAUUACCGUUUUAAAAACACCGCCAAAUAUGCUAAAGUCAUCAAAUUGCGAUAGAUGAGAAAGUGAAGAUGAGCGUAACGCAUUGAUUGAGUUGUAGCCCAUCAAACAAAAACCUGCAUCAAAGGAUGUUAAAUUAUGAAACCAGCACUUUAAUAAAAAAUCAGUAUCAUUACUGCUGAUCAAAAAUAAAUCGUUUACGGUAAGCAGAAACGCUAAUCGUAAUACAUGGCUUGGCUCUGCCCCUGGCAUUGUUGACCUCCACGAGCGACGGUAACCACUCACCAUCAGGUGGGCCGUAUGCUUGUCAGCCUCAACAUAGAAUAAAAAAAAAUUGUAACUAAACCCUGGAGAAAAAACUUGCCACAAUGACAAGUUAUGAUCAAAAGAAGAGACUAGUCAGUUUUUAAUAAGUUUGCUUUCGUCUUACCAAAUGGUAACUCGUAAAGCUUUUUUUCCCUUACCUGAUCACUGGUAACCUAAGAGACUAUUCCAGCUACUUACGAACUGAAAGUAUUGUAUAAGGUAUUUAAUCUACAGAUUUUGAGAUCAACCUAGACAGUUACGGCGAAUGGCAGCUGUCAGCCAUUAUAAAUAUUAUAAUUGCAAACGAAUACGACCAAGCUAGCCAAUAUUGCACAACAGAGCCCAUCAUAUUUUAUUCUAAAAAUUUCUCAAUUACUCAAUGUAUUUAUUUUGACCUCGCUCCAAUAAAAUUGAAAUUCACUCUUUUCGGUAUAUACACAAUAUUUUUAGGAAAACAUCAAAUGCCAGCCAGUUAAAACGAUAUUUAAAGAGAUUACAAUAAUAACAUAUAAGGCCGCCGUUUUAAAAUACUGGCCAUUUGAAACGUAAUUUAUCUAUCGCUGGCAAUCAAUUCUAAAUUCAAAUGAAUUUUAUUUAAAAAAUAUGGAAUUCUAUUUUCAAAUCAGUCAUUUGUUUAUUGAUUAGUGUUUUGUUUUCUCUACAUUUGUAUGUUUUUCAUCGAAAUGGACGUGAUAAUAAUAGGAGUAAUUAUGGAAAACGAGUUCCGUCGCGUUAGCAAUACGGGACAAACGACUCACAACAUUAAAUACGUGUAUAGUGUGUGAACACUAAAAACGAACGCACGACUCAUUAUUGGCUUGAACGAUUCCGACAUGGAACUUUUGAUCUAAAAAAUUAUCUCCGUGGUCGCUCGAAAACUAAAGUCAACAACGAUUAAAAGCGGUAGUUGAAGCUCACGAUACUCAAUCUACAAAAGACCAUCUCUAAACCAGUGGCGUAGCCAGGGAGCGGGCAAAAGAGGGGCUUCGUCAUGCGGGCGCUACACACAAAGGGGCGCCAAAUGACCAGUGGUCAAAAAUUGCUGGAUACCGCAGAUUGAGGGGAAUCGGGACCCUUUCCAAAUCCAACACAAAUUUUCAAUGGUUUUUUUAGGGUAAAUACAAAUAGAAUUGAGAUUAAAACGGUUCCAGAGGCUUACAUUUUUAUAUACGACUAGCGACCCGCCCUCGCUUCGCUUCGGAAACAUUAAAUUUUAUUAUUGAUAGCUAAAUCCCGCGAUGUUACCCGCGGUUAUUGUCUUACCGCGGGUGAAGCCGCGGGGCGAAGCUAGUCUAAAAGAAGUAGCCUAAGUUACUCCUUAUAUCAUCAGCUACCUAUCAGUGAAAGUCCCAUCAAAAUCGGUUCAGCCGUUCCAGAGAUUAGCCGGAACAAACAGAAAGACAGACAGACAAACAAAAAUUGUAAAAAAUGUUAUUUUGGUGUAUGUACCGUAUAUAUAUAUUCAUAUGCAUGUAGUAUAAAAAGAGGCUAUUUCAAUAUUACAAACAGACACUCCAAUUUUAUUUAUAUGUAUAGAUGUGUUAUUAUACAUAGUUCAUUACGAAAUGUACACAAAAACUGAAAAAACUAGCUUGACCCGAUUCACCUUGGCUUUGGGGUGAAUCAGGUUACGUUUGGGGACAAUACUUUUUCGAUAGGGCUGGCACUGGCACUAUUUAGUUGUUAGUUAGGUACCUAACUUUAGGUAAUUAACUUUUUGGAGUUUACUCCUUUAGAAUCGAUUUACAUAUAUAGGCCCGGGGUAUGAAAAUUAUGGGGACCAAAAUCGUACUAGCAUGUCACACGAAAUGCGUUAUGCGCCUGAUUGCGCAUGUCACACGAAAUGCGUUAUCGCAGGUGACGCCGGGCUGCUGCGCCGGCAGUCCGCCACAAAGCCUCGUACUGAUCGCGCGUUUCUCUCAUUAUUGUAUUUUCAUAUAUUGGAGUUUACUCCUUUAGAAUCGAUUUACAUAUAUAGGCCCGGGGUAUGAAAAUUAUGGGGACCAAAAUCGUACUAGCAUGUCACACGAAAUGCGUUAUGCGCCUGAUUGCGCAUGUCACACGAAAUGCGUUAUCGCAGGUGACGCCGGGCUGCUGCGCCGGCAGUCCGCCACAAAGCCUCGUACUGAUCGCGCGUUUCUCUCAUUAUUGUAUUUUCAUAUAUUUGUUAGUCGUUUGUUUUGUGUCUCGUUAAUUUGUUAAUAAUCUGUAGUGUAUCGUGUUGUCGUAAUAUAGAACUAUUUCUCGUA
This is a long non-coding RNA of Bombyx mori (domestic silkworm), 19226 nucleotides long. RefSeq lists it as uncharacterized. NCBI's taxonomy places the organism in Eukaryota, Metazoa, Arthropoda, Insecta, Lepidoptera, Bombycidae. The record is from RefSeq and is a predicted model, not a curated record. The transcript has 2 exons.